RNAcentral lists this ribosomal RNA (829 nucleotides) under uncultured bacterium. RNAcentral describes it as "bacterial SSU rRNA". It matches the Rfam family "Bacterial small subunit ribosomal RNA", at positions 8 to 807 of the family's 1533-position model. The record is from RNAcentral.
AGAGUUUGAUCCUGGCUCAGGACGAACGCUGGCGGCGUGCUUAACACAUGCAAGUCGAACGAAGAGCGAUGGAAGCUUGCUUCUAUCAAUCUUAGUGGCGAACGGGUGAGUAACGCGUAAUCAACCUGCCCUUCAGAGGGGGACAACAGUUGGAAACGACUGCUAAUACCGCAUACGAUCCAACCUUGGCAUCGAGGAUGGAUGAAAGGUGGCCUCUAUUUAUAAGCUAUCACUGAAGGAGGGGAUUGCGUCUGAUUAGCUAGUUGGAGGGGUAACGGCCCACCAAGGCGAUGAUCAGUAGCCGGUCUGAGAGGAUGAACGGCCACAUUGGGACUGAGACACGGCCCAGACUCCUACGGGAGGCAGCAGUGGGGAAUCUUCCGCAAUGGACGAAAGUCUGACGGAGCAACGCCGCGUGAGUGAUGACGGCCUUCGGGUUGUAAAGCUCUGUUAAUCGGGACGAAAGGUCUUCUUGCGAAUAGUUAGAAGAAUUGACGGUACCGGAAUAGAAAGCCACGGCUAACUACGUGCCAGCAGCCGCGGUAAUACGUAGGUGGCAAGCGUUGUCCGGAAUUAUUGGGCGUAAAGCGCGCGCAGGCGGAUCAGUCAGUCUGUCUUAAAAGUUCGGGGCUUAACCCCGUGAUGGGAUGGAAACUGCUGAUCUAGAGUAUCGGAGAGGAAAGUGGAAUUCCUAGUGUAGCGGUGAAAUGCGUAGAUAUUAGGAAGAACACCAGUGGCGAAGGCGACUUUCUGGACGAAAACUGACGCUGAGGCGCGAAAGCCAGGGGAGCGAACGAAAGUAGAUACCCCGGUAGUCCUGGCCGUAAAC